Molecule: non-coding RNA, 1390 nt
Organism: Taeniopygia guttata (zebra finch)
Lineage: Eukaryota; Metazoa; Chordata; Aves; Passeriformes; Estrildidae
Source: RefSeq, a predicted model, not a curated record
UGCAGAUGUGGCAGCAGAGUCCACCAUAUAAUCUGCUGGAUUCAAGCUCUAACCCUGACCUCAGCCUCAGCCUGUUCCAGCCUCAGUCACUGCUCCAGUGACUCCUGGUGACCCCAGAUUUCAAAGGAGUCACAGAUUCACUCACCUCGAGCUUUCCAUUUUGGUGCUCUCUCCCCAAAUCCCUUUAUUAUCCUAGCCCAUCAGUGUCUUUUGGACCUUCCAAAGUCAUGCAGCCUGCAGCAGUUCCGGAAGAAAAUCAUCUCCAAGAGCUCCAUGUCCUCUCCCCAUAGUUUGCUCAUCUGCCUCCACUGAAUCUUCUCAUGACUCAAAUUUAUCUGUUCUUCCUGACCUGACUGAUGAUCCUAACACCUACUUCAGACUCAGUGCCAUUGUUUUCCCCUUGCCUAAUACUAAUCCUAAGCAAAACUCUUGCCCUAGUCAUAAAGAUGGAAGAUAUAUGCAACCUGCCUUAAAUCCAGGUGGACCUCCUAGAAUGCUUUUUCUGGGUAGAAACUACACUGAGAUCCGGAGUCCCAUUAGCUGGGACUGGGGUUGGGGCCGAGGUUAAUAUUGUUCCCCAAAUGAACUUUAGGAUUUAGUUUAGACUCAUGUUUCACAAGAGCUGUGAGCUAGGAAAAUAUGGGAAAAUCAUGACACUUUCAGUGUCAUAUUUCCAGCCACUAGUGCUGGUUGCACAGGCGAGUAGGUCAGGAGUUUUCUGUCCCAGAUUUCCCUGCCAGCUCUCACAUGGAUAAAACAAACAUGGGUACUGUAGGUGCAUGGUCUGACAAAAGUCCUCCUUGGAAAAAAACAGACUUCAAGGAAGAGUAUCUGAUGUCACCACUGAGAGAUGACUGGGCUGGAACAGUUUCCUUAAUUAACCUGUAAAUAAAAUGUUAAAUAAAAUAUUUGAUGGACUGCAGCUCCUUGCACAGUGGUGCAAGGAUCUAUGUCUGAGGAAAUUCUUCUGAAUUCCAAAAGAGAUCAAGAUACUUUGACUGAGAAAGGACUGUAUCCAAUAAUAACUCUCAAGUUCACAAAUAAGUCUUUGAUCUCCUCUGUUUCAUGACUCCACAUUGCUUUUGAAAGACAGCUGAAACUUCAACCCCCACAGUAAAAUUCAGCUUUUUUUUUUUUUUUAAUCCUAUUUACAACAAACACAGGCAGGUGGCAGGUCCUGGUGGUUUCCCUUCAUUGCAGCUCAGUGACAAAUGAGAGAGAGAGAGGAAUAGAAUGGAAUAGAAUAGAAUAGAAUAGAAUAGAAUAGAAUAGAAUAGAAUAGAAUAGAAUAGAAUAGAAAUUUCAGUUGGAAGGAGUGUGACAGCUACUCCUGUUUUGCAUAUAACAAGAGGGCUUGGGAUUUAUGUAAUCAACAGUUCAAAAGCUUUCA